RNAcentral lists this ribosomal RNA (237 nucleotides) under uncultured bacterium. RNAcentral describes it as "partial 16S ribosomal RNA". It matches the Rfam family "Bacterial small subunit ribosomal RNA", at positions 100 to 334 of the family's 1533-position model. The record is from RNAcentral.
CCGGCACGGGUGAGUAACGCGUAUCCAACCUGCCGUCUACUCUUGGACAGCCUUCUGAAAGGAAGAUUAAUACAAGAUGGCAUCAUGAGUCCACAUGUUCACAUGAUUAAAGGUAUUCCGGUAGACGAUGGGGAUGCGUUCCAUUAGAUAGUAGGCGGGGUAACGGCCCACCUAGUCUUCGAUGGAUAGGGGUUCUGAGAGGAAGGUCCCCCACAUUGGAACUGAGACACGGUCCAA